UUGCCAUAUCAAUAAGCGGAGGAAAAGAAACCAACAGGGAUUGCCCUAGUAACGGCGAGUGAAGCGGCAACAGCUCAAAUUUGAAAUCUGGCGUCUUUGGCGUCCGAGUUGUAAUUUGCAGAGGGCGCUUUGGCAUUGGCAGCGGUCCAAGUUCCUUGGAACAGGACGUCACAGAGGGUGAGAAUCCCGUACGUGGUCGCUAGCCUUUACCGUGUAAAGCCCCUUCGACGAGUCGAGUUGUUUGGGAAUAA
Molecule: ribosomal RNA, 251 nt
Filed under: Remotididymella anthropophila
Lineage: Eukaryota; Fungi; Ascomycota; Dothideomycetes; Pleosporales; Didymellaceae
Description: partial 26S ribosomal RNA
Rfam family: Eukaryotic large subunit ribosomal RNA
Source: RNAcentral